CUUCAUUACUAACCAGAGAUCAAGCCCUGAGCCUUUGGAGUGGGAGCACUGACUCCAAGAACUAAGACUACCAGAGAACUGACCCUAGGAAGUAUCAAAUAGUGAGAACUCACACAAAGGAAACCACUUGAAUAUAAGACCUGGCAUCAUCCAACCACCAGUAGCACCCUGAGCA
This is a long non-coding RNA of Cervus elaphus (red deer), 175 nucleotides long. RefSeq lists it as uncharacterized. NCBI's taxonomy places the organism in Eukaryota, Metazoa, Chordata, Mammalia, Artiodactyla, Cervidae. The record is from RefSeq and is a predicted model, not a curated record. The transcript has 3 exons.